Molecule: ribosomal RNA, 442 nt
Filed under: uncultured bacterium
Lineage: Bacteria
Description: partial 16S ribosomal RNA
Rfam family: Bacterial small subunit ribosomal RNA
Source: RNAcentral
CCUACGGGAGGCAGCAGUGGGGAAUAUUGGGCAAUGGGCGAAAGCCUGACCCAGCAACGCCGCGUGAAGGAAGAAGGCUUUCGGGUUGUAAACUUCUUUUGACAGGGAAGAGCAGAAGACGGUACCUGUCGAAUAAGCCACGGCUAACUACGUGCCAGCAGCCGCGGUAAUACGUAGGUGGCAAGCGUUGUCCGGAUUUACUGGGGGUAAAGGGCGUGUAGCCGGGCUGACAAGUCAGAUGUGAAAUCCGGGGGCUCAACCCCCGAACUGCAUUUGAAACUGUUGGUCUUGAGUAUCGGAGAGGCAGGCAGAAUUCCUAGUGUAGCGGUGAAAUGCGUAGAUAUUAGGAGGAACACCAGUGGCGAAGGCGGCAAUCUGGCUGGAAACUGACGCUGAGGUGCGAAAGCGUGGGUAGCAAACAGGAUUAGAUACCCGAGUAGUC